This is a long non-coding RNA of Asparagus officinalis (garden asparagus), 1500 nucleotides long. RefSeq lists it as uncharacterized. NCBI's taxonomy places the organism in Eukaryota, Viridiplantae, Streptophyta, Magnoliopsida, Asparagales, Asparagaceae. The record is from RefSeq and is a predicted model, not a curated record. The transcript has 3 exons.
UACAUAUUUCUCAUAGAAAGGAAAAUGAAGGCAAAUCACGAAACUCUAAGUCUAGCUCUUCUUCUACUUUUGUUUGCUGGACAAAUCUCAGCUUCGAAUUACACUUCAUGCUAUGUGGAGUCAUGUAAAGAUAAAAAUCCCAGGUGGGCUUGUUAUAUCAGUUGCUACAUCAACUAUAUGAACACGAACGAUUUGAAUGUGAUUGAUUCUGAUUGCAUCUCUUCUUGUAUCAAACUCUCAUGCUUUCGACUUGAUCCAGAGGAGAUUGAUGUGGGACCUUGCAUUGAUACCUGUCAACAGAGCUGCGCCUAGUACUCGACAACAGUGAAUUGUGAAGAUUUUUUUCCAGCGUAUGGUUAGGAAAAGUUGUAUAUAAAGGCGAAGUUUUGCCUGGUGUUAUAGUCAUAAGUGAGGUUUUCAAACUUCAGUAUCAAUAAACAAACAUGAUCACAUCAUGUUACAUGUUAAUAAGAUCAUUUUAAAAGUAAUGAGAUUCGUUGUGUUUCUAAUAUCAGGCAAAUUUUUGAGAAAGAGGGUCCUCUGUACAAAAGCAUACAAGGAAUUAAUGUGCUCACAUGUUGUAACAUUAAUUUUGUAGCUGAUGAUUGUUCUGGUUCACAAACACCAUUGGUACUAGUUUAAAAUUAGGGAAAAUCUUCUUUUAACCCAAAGUUUUACUCCAACUUAUUUUUAAACCCACCUACUUUCAUUAUGAUCCAUACACCCAAAGUACAACACCCACUUAUUUAUAAACCCAAAGUAUCAAAUACACCAUAUUUAUAUACUGUAUCCAAAAAAUAAAAGAUAAAUCCCGAAAUUACCCUUUUUCUUCUUCUUCUUCCUCCCUAAUAACUACCCAGGGCUCAACUCUCUUUUUCUAAUUAUCUCCAUCUUUCUAGUUCUCCUCCCACUAAAAAAAACCCCUAAAAAUUCAAGGGUUUUGAUCUCUUGCAAUGGCAUCCAAUAUCAACUUGCAGGUUUCUCUUCGCUAGAUCCUUCGUUGAAGGGGGGCGGUGGCAGCGGCCCUAGGACCACCUAGUCCACUCAAAGCCGACCAAUAGAAAACGGUUGAUGCAUAGAAGGUGUUUGAUGGAAUGACAAAAGGGAUAUAGUUAUUUGGACCACAACGAUUAGCGGUUAUGCCAUAUUGUUGUUGGUUGAGGAGGCAAUAAAGGUGGUUGAUAAAAUGUCCAAGAGAAGUUUGGUUUUGUGGACCGCCAUGAUCUUAGCCCAUCAGUAUGCCAUCCUACGCCCUCCGGUUGCUCCUCACCAUUUUCUAUUGCUGCCAACACCUAACGCAAUGCAUAGCUACCCCUCAAUCAGAAACGAUUCGUCAAUGCACGUACACUAACUUUCCAAUCAAAUACAUGAGAGAAUCCUCCACUCUUGGCAUUCGAUCAGAUCUUAGCAUUGUUGUCACAUUGCAACCCAAACGGCAAAUCAACUACAACCUACAAUAUGAUGUACCAAGUAGUAUCUAAUGUAUUGUGUUGUAUGGAA